AACGCGAAGAACCUUACCUGGCCUUGACAUGCAUUGUGUCGUCGGUGAAAGCCGGCUAGCGUAGCAAUACGCGCUUUGCACAGGUGCUGCAUGGCUGUCGUCAGCUCGUGUCGUGAGAUGUUGGGUUAAGUCCCGCAACGAGCGCAACCCUCGUCCUAUGUUGCCAGCGGGUAAUGCCGGGGACUCAUAGGAGACUGCCGGGGUCAACUCGGAGGAAGGUGGGGAUGACGUCAAGUCAUCAUGCCCCUUAAGUCUUGGGCUGCAAACAUGCUACAAUGGCCGGUACAGAGGGCUGCGAGACCGCAAGGUGGAGCGAAUCUCAAAAAGCCGGUCUCAGUUCGGAUUGGGGUCUGCAACUCGACCCCAUGAAGUCGGAGUCGCUAGUAAUCGCGAAUCAGCAACGUCGCGGUGAAUACGUUCCCGGGCCUUGUACACACCGCAUC
Molecule: ribosomal RNA, 443 nt
Filed under: uncultured bacterium
Lineage: Bacteria
Description: bacterial SSU rRNA
Rfam family: Bacterial small subunit ribosomal RNA
Source: RNAcentral